AUACGGUAAUGGAGUGGAUUUGUAACAUUUUUUAUUUUCAUGUGUAUUUUUCAAAACUUCACAAGUAAUGGAUUAGCAAUUGAAAUAUGGGUGCGAAUAUCUCUCAACUAGAAAGAGAUAUUGGAUCUGAACAGUUUCCUUCAAAUGAACACUACUUUGGAUUAGUAAAUUUUGGAAAUACCUGUUACAGUAAUUCUGUACUUCAGGCUUUAUAUUUUUGCAAACCUUUUCGAGAUAAAGUUCUCGAAUAUAAAGCAAAAAAUAAGAGAAAUAAAGAAACUCUUCUAACAUGUUUGGCAGACUUAUUUUACAGUAUUGCUACACAGAAAAAGAAAGUAGGUUCUAUUGCUCCAAAAAAAUUUAUAGCAAGGCUGCGAAAAGA
Molecule: long non-coding RNA, 382 nt
Organism: Agrilus planipennis (emerald ash borer)
Lineage: Eukaryota; Metazoa; Arthropoda; Insecta; Coleoptera; Buprestidae
Exons: 3
Source: RefSeq, a predicted model, not a curated record